This 253-nucleotide ribosomal RNA is filed under the name uncultured bacterium. RNAcentral's name for it is "partial 16S ribosomal RNA". It matches the Rfam family "Bacterial small subunit ribosomal RNA", at positions 524 to 776 of the family's 1533-position model. The record is from RNAcentral.
UACGUAGGGUGCAAGCGUUGUCCGGAAUUAUUGGGCGUAAAGAGCUCGUAGGCGGCCUGUUGCGUCCGCUGUGAAAUCCCGGGGCUCAACCCCGGGCCUGCAGUGGAUACGGGCUGGCUAGAGGCAGGCAGGGGAGAACGGAAUUCCUGGUGUAGCGGUGAAAUGCGCAGAUAUCAGGAGGAACACCGGUGGCGAAGGCGGGUCUCUGGGCAACAACUGACGCUGAGGAGCGAAAGCGUGGGGAGCGAACAGG